Long non-coding RNA from Artibeus jamaicensis (Jamaican fruit-eating bat), 444 nucleotides. RefSeq lists it as uncharacterized. NCBI's taxonomy places the organism in Eukaryota, Metazoa, Chordata, Mammalia, Chiroptera, Phyllostomidae. The record is from RefSeq and is a predicted model, not a curated record. The transcript is spliced from 3 exons.
GAGUAGUUGUUGAAAGAACACUACAGAGGGCCCUCGAUCCUGAUACAUAAAUGAAAACCUACCUACUGACACCACUAUGCAAACCCAGGGAGGCAAAGGCAAGGACAGACACACCCCCUGGACGGAUUAAGAAUGUGUAGCCCUAGCUGAUUGACUCAGUUUGUUGGAGCAUCUUCCUGUGUACGGGGAGGUUUCGGGCUGGAUUUCCUGGUGAAAAAAGUCCUCAAAAGGAAACGUUUUGCCAAUGUGGAAGAGGUAAAACAAACAAACAAAUAAAAAAAGGCAGAAGCACUAAAAGGCAUCAAAAUCGAGAAGUUCAAAACCUUUUUGAGCAGUGGAAAAACAUCUCAAUAGGUGUAUUGCAUCAUAUGGAGAGCUCUUUGAAGAUGGCUGAAGUUUAAAUAUGUAGAAAUAAAUGCACAAUUUUUAAUAAAUAAAGUCUAU